This 1376-nucleotide ribosomal RNA is filed under the name uncultured bacterium. RNAcentral describes it as "bacterial SSU rRNA". It matches the Rfam family "Bacterial small subunit ribosomal RNA". The record is from RNAcentral.
UAGAGUUUGAUCCUGGCUCAGGACGAACGCUGGCGGCGUGCCUAACACAUGCAAGUCGAGCGAAUGAAGUUCCUUCGGGAACGGAUUUAGCGGCGGACGGGUGAGUAACACGUGGGCAACCUGCCUCAUAGAGGGGAAUAGCCUUCCGAAAGGGAGAUUAAUACCGCAUAAGAUUGUAGUACCGCAUGGUACAGCAAUUAAAGGAGCAAUCCGCUAUGAGAUGGGCCCGCGGCGCAUUAGCUAGUUGGUGAGGUAACGGCUCACCAAGGCGACGAUGCGUAGCCGACCUGAGAGGGUGAUCGGCCACAUUGGGACUGAGACACGGCCCAGACUCCUACGGGAGGCAGCAGUGGGGAAUAUUGCACAAUGGGGGAAACCCUGAUGCAGCAACGCCGCGUGAGUGAUGACGGCCUUCGGGUUGUAAAGCUCUGUCUUCAGGGACGAUAAUGACGGUACCUGAGGAGGAAGCCACGGCUAACUACGUGCCAGCAGCCGCGGUAAUACGUAGGUGGCGAGCGUUGUCCGGAUUUACUGGGCGUAAAGGGAGCGUAGGCGGAUUUUUAAGUGAGAUGUGAAAUACUCGGGCUUAACCUGAGUGCUGCAUUUCAAACUGGAAGUCUAGAGUGCAGGAGAGGAGAAGGGAAUUCCUAGUGUAGCGGUGAAAUGCGUAGAGAUUAGGAGGAAUACCAGUGGCGAAGGCGACUUUCUGGACUUAUACUGACGCUGAGGUACGAAAGCGUGGGGAGCAAACAGGAUUAGAUACCCUGGUAGUCCACGCUGUAAACGAUGAGUGCUAGGUGUCGGGGGUCAAACCUCGGUGCCGGAGUUAACGCAUUAAGCACUCCGCCUGGGGAGUACGUACGCAAGUAUGAAACUCAAAGGAAUUGACGGGGACCCGCACAAGCAGCGGAGCAUGUGGUUUAAUUCGAAGCAACGCGAAGAACCUUACCAGGUCUUGACAUGCCAUUGACCGUCUUAGAGAUAAGACUUUCCCUUCGGGGACAAUGGACACAGGUGGUGCAUGGUUGUCGUCAGCUCGUGUCGUGAGAUGUUGGGUUAAGUCCCGUAACGAGCGCAACCCCUAUUUUUAGUUGCUAGCAGGUUAAGCUGAGCACUCUAAAGAGACUGCCGAUGAUAAAUCGGAGGAAGGUGGGGAUGACGUCAAAUCAUCAUGCCCUUUAUGACCUGGGCUACACACGUGCUACAAUGGUCGGUACAACGAGCAGCUACCUAGUGAUAGGAUGCUAAUCUCUUAAAGCCGAUCCCAGUUCGGAUUGUAGGCUGCAAUUCGCCUACAUGAAGUCGGAGUUGCUAGUAAUCGCGGAUCAGAAUGCCGCGGUGAAUGCGUUCCCGGGUCUUGUACUCACCGCCCGUCA